CUUUGUCAAACGUGACCUAUUGUCAUGCUAUCUUACCAUUGCUCCACACUCUGCUUUAUUUAUUUAUUUAUUUAUUUAUUUAUGUGUUUUGCUUUGUUUUCUGUGGCUUUGGUUUGCCAGUUCUGAAAUUUGGGAUUUUUUUUAAAAAUUUUUAUUUUUUUUUCCCCUGGAGUGUUUAGAAAUGCUUGUCUAAGAAAGUACUACUAAUGCUAUUCUCACUUACUCUACUACGUAGCCAAAUCCAGGCCAGCACUGUGAACUGUUUUCUUUUUACUGUCACACACUGGCAAUGUAGUGUGAGAUAGCUGACACUGAGGAUGUUUCUCCCUUUUGCUUUAGGUUUUUGGUAUUCUUUUUCUCAACAACAACAGCAUCUGGAAGCAAAGCAAGGGAUUUACUUAAGGCACAUUUGAGUUAGGCAGGGUAGUGCAAACACUGUCAUUUCUACUAAUGUUUUCCUCCAGAUUUUAAAACCGUGAAAAACAUCCCAUAUUUUAGAUAGGGAAACAGUGCCAGAAGAAAUUGACUUGUCAUUUGAUAAGUCUUAUGAUUAGUGUAAUAAAUUAAAUGGGUUGGGAUUUUUGCAAAUGAGGAAUCAGCUUUUGAUUGCUCAGUAAUUGACUAGAGUAACCAUCCGCCAAUAGCUGAUGGUUCAUUUCAUUUAAGUGAGUGAAGCUACUUUAUGAGCAAAAUAUGCUGGCCAGUGGUGAGUCUGUGCUACAGACAAGGUGAGUAGAUGGACAAUCAAUGGCUUAUUGGGGCUAUAAUGCACUGUAUUAAAAAAUUUAUGUAGCUUUUACUGUAAGCCAAAGUAGAAACAGUGUAAGGUGAUUUUUGGUUUUGUUUUGUUUUGUUUUUGUUUUUAGUAGUGAAAUAGAAGUUCCUUCUGCAAUAAAGCCAGUAACACUUUUCGUCACAAGGUGGUAGCAGAUGUGAGAGUCACUGUAGGACCACUGAAGAUCAAAGGACCAGAACAUCUCUCUGGCGGAGACUGAGAUUGCUGAGACUGUUCAGCCUGGAGAAAGAAAGACUGAGAGCGGAUCUUAUCAAUGUCUAUCGGUCCUGGAAGGAAUGGUACAGAAAAGAUGGAGCCAGGUUCUGUGCAGUGGUACCCAGUGUGAGGACGAGAGGCAAUGAGUACAAAUCAGAACACAGGAUGUCCCCUCUGAACACCAG
This 1176-nucleotide long non-coding RNA is filed under the name Gallus gallus (chicken). RNAcentral describes it as "lncRNA (ENSGALG00010003876.1)". The record is from RNAcentral. Lineage: Eukaryota; Metazoa; Chordata; Aves; Galliformes; Phasianidae.